UACGUAGGGGGCGAGCGUUGUCCGGAUUUAUUGGGCGUAAAGAGCUCGUAGGCGGCUGUUCGAGUCGGGUGUGAAAUCCUGAGGCUUAACCUUGGGUCUGCAUUCGAUACUGGGCGGCUUGAGUCUGGUAGGGGGAUCUGGAAUUCCUGGUGUAGCGGUGGAAUGCGCAGAUAUCAGGAGGAACACCGAUGGCGAAGGCAGCUCGCUGGGACGGUACUGACGCUGAGGCGCGAAAGCGUGGGGAGCGAACAGG
RNAcentral lists this ribosomal RNA (253 nucleotides) under uncultured bacterium. Its description in RNAcentral is "partial 16S ribosomal RNA". It matches the Rfam family "Bacterial small subunit ribosomal RNA", at positions 524 to 776 of the family's 1533-position model. The record is from RNAcentral.